GUAAUAGCGGGAAACGUAAGAGGACUUUUGAACCAACGACUGUUCGUAAACUGUUUGUGGAAGCGAUUUUAUCAUGCAGACGAGGCGAAGAGGAUGCAACUGAGGAAAUAAUAAUUAGUGCAUUAAAAGAUUGGUUUCAAAGAGCCCACGCGCGAGUCAAUAUUGAUAUACCGAGAGAUGAAAAGAAUGCGGCUUGUCUUCGAAAUUAAAAAACGAUAAGCUUUUGGUCGCAAUCUGCUUUGAAAACCACUGUUCUGAAGAAGGAAUGCUAAGGAAGAAUCGCGAGAUGUAUAUUUUGUUUUCUAAUUAAACUAUUCACUGAUGAGGCGUGCGCAUAAAUAGUAAUGCGCCAUUUUUAGUUAC
Molecule: long non-coding RNA, 363 nt
Organism: Belonocnema kinseyi
Lineage: Eukaryota; Metazoa; Arthropoda; Insecta; Hymenoptera; Cynipidae
Exons: 3
Source: RefSeq, a predicted model, not a curated record